RNAcentral lists this ribosomal RNA (1072 nucleotides) under Escherichia coli. RNAcentral describes it as "bacterial SSU rRNA". It matches the Rfam family "Bacterial small subunit ribosomal RNA", at positions 331 to 1406 of the family's 1533-position model. Lineage: Bacteria; Pseudomonadati; Pseudomonadota; Gammaproteobacteria; Enterobacterales; Enterobacteriaceae. The record is from RNAcentral.
CCAAACUCCUACGGGAGGCAGCAGUGAGGAAUAUUGGUCAAUGGGCGAGAGCCUGAACCAGCCAAGUAGCGUGAAGGAUGAAGGCUCUAUGGGUCGUAAACUUCUUUUAUAUGGGAAUAAAGUUUUCCACGUGUGGAAUUUUGUAUGUACCAUAUGAAUAAGGAUCGGCUAACUCCGUGCCAGCAGCCGCGGUAAUACGGAGGAUCCGAGCGUUAUCCGGAUUUAUUGGGUUUAAAGGGAGCGUAGGUGGAUUGUUAAGUCAGUUGUGAAAGUUUGCGGCUCAACCGUAAAAUUGCAGUUGAAACUGGGAGUCUUGAGUACAGUAGAGGUGGGCGGAAUUCGUGGUGUAGCGGUGAAAUGCUUAGAUAUCACGAAGAACUCCGAUUGCGAAGGCAGCUCACUAGACUGUCACUGACACUGAUGCUCGAAAGUGUGGGUAUCAAACAGGAUUAGAUACCCUGGUAGUCCACACAGUAAACGAUGAAUACUCGCUGUUUGCGAUAUACAGUAAGCGGCCAAGCGAAAGCAUUAAGUAUUCCACCUGGGGAGUACGCCGGCAACGGUGAAACUCAAAGGAAUUGACGGGGGCCCGCACAAGCGGAGGAACAUGUGGUUUAAUUCGAUGAUACGCGAGGAACCUUACCCGGGCUUAAAUUGCAACAGAAUAUAUUGGAAACAGUAUAGCCGUAAGGCUGUUGUGAAGGUGCUGCAUGGUUGUCGUCAGCUCGUGCCGUGAGGUGUCGGCUUAAGUGCCAUAACGAGCGCAACCCUUAUCUUUAGUUACUAACAGGUCAUGCUGAGGACUCUAGAGAGACUGCCGUCGUAAGAUGUGAGGAAGGUGGGGAUGACGUCAAAUCAGCACGGCCCUUACGUCCGGGGCUACACACGUGUUACAAUGGGGGGUACAGAAGGCGGCUACCUGGUGACAGGAUGCUAAUCCCAAAAACCUCUCUCAGUUCGGAUCGAAGUCUGCAACCCGACUUCGUGAAGCUGGAUUCGCUAGUAAUCGCGCAUCAGCCAUGGCGCGGUGAAUACGUUCCCGGGCCUUGUACACACCGCCCGUCAAGCCAUG